Molecule: ribosomal RNA, 253 nt
Filed under: uncultured bacterium
Lineage: Bacteria
Description: partial 16S ribosomal RNA
Rfam family: Bacterial small subunit ribosomal RNA
Source: RNAcentral
UACGGGGGGGGCAAGCGUUGUUCGGAAUUACUGGGCGUAAAGGGCUCGUAGGCGGCCAACUAAGUCAUACGUGAAAUCCCUCGGCUUAACCGGGGAACUGCGUCUGAUACUGGAUGGCUUGAGUUCGGGAGAGGGAUGCGGAAUUCCAGGUGUAGCGGUGAAAUGCGUAGAUAUCAGGAAGAACACCCGUGGCGAAGGCGGCUCUCUGGGACGGUACUGACGCUGAGACGCGAAAGCGUGGGGAGCGAACAGG